Molecule: ribosomal RNA, 253 nt
Filed under: uncultured bacterium
Lineage: Bacteria
Description: partial 16S ribosomal RNA
Rfam family: Bacterial small subunit ribosomal RNA
Source: RNAcentral
UACGUAGGGUGCAAGCGUUGUCCGGAAUGAUUGGGCGUAAAGCGUCCGCAGGUGGCUAUGUAAGUCUGCUGUUAAAGAGUGAGGCUCAACCUCAUAAGAGCAGUGGAAACUACAUGGCUAGAGUGCGUUCGGGGCAGAGGGAAUUCCUGGUGUAGCGGUGAAAUGCGUAGAUAUCAGGAAGAACACCGGUGGCGAAAGCGCUCUGCUAGGCCGCAACUGACACUGAGGGACGAAAGCUAGGGGAGCGAAUGGG